Molecule: ribosomal RNA, 254 nt
Filed under: uncultured bacterium
Lineage: Bacteria
Description: partial 16S ribosomal RNA
Rfam family: Bacterial small subunit ribosomal RNA
Source: RNAcentral
UACGGGGGGAGCAAGCGUUGUUCGGAUUUACUGGGCGUAAAGGGCGCGUAGGCGGUCAGCACAAGUCAGUUGUGAAAUCUCCGGGCUUAACUCGGAAAGGUCAACUGAUACUGUGCGACUAGAGUGCGGAAGGGGCAACUGGAAUUCUCGGUGUAGCGGCGAAAUGCGUAGAUAUCGAGAGGAACACCUGCGGCGAAGGCGGGUUGCUGGGCCGACACUGACGCUGAUGCGCGAAAGCCAGGGGAGCGAUCCGG